AGAAUGAACGCUGGCGGCGUGCUUUACACAUGCAAGUCGAGCGAGGCGGGGAGCAAUCCCCCAGUCGAGCGGCGAACGGGUGAGUAACGCGUGGAUGACCUGCCCUACAGCGGGGAAUAACCCGGGGAAACUUGGGCUAAUACCGCAUACGACCGAGAGGUGAAAGGGGGCUCGCAAGGGCUCUCGCUGAAGGAGGGGUCCGCGUUCGAUUAGCUAGUUGGUAGGGUAAUGGCCUACCAAGGCGACGAUCGAUAGCCGGCCUGAGAGGUGAUCGGCACACUGGAACUGAGACACGGUCAGACCUCCGUACGGGAGGCGAGCGAGGUGGGUAAUUUGCGCGAAGUGGCUAACGCCUGACGACAGCAACGCCGCGUCGGAGGAGUGAAGGUUCGUUGGGUAUUAGUAAACCUUCUCGGUCGAACG
RNAcentral lists this ribosomal RNA (423 nucleotides) under uncultured soil bacterium. RNAcentral's name for it is "bacterial SSU rRNA". It matches the Rfam family "Bacterial small subunit ribosomal RNA", at positions 26 to 447 of the family's 1533-position model. The record is from RNAcentral.